GCCUCGGUGGCUCAGCCUGGUAGAGCAACGGUUUCGUAAACCGUCGGUCGCGGGAUCAAAGCCCGCCCGAGGCU
RNAcentral lists this transfer RNA (74 nucleotides) under Candidatus Bathyarchaeota archaeon. Its description in RNAcentral is "tRNA-Thr". It matches the Rfam family "tRNA". From Rfam's summary of the family: Transfer RNA (tRNA) molecules are approximately 80 nucleotides in length. Their secondary structure includes four short double-helical elements and three loops (D, anti-codon, and T loops). Further hydrogen bonds mediate the characteristic L-shaped molecular structure. tRNAs have two regions of fundamental functional importance: the anti-codon, which is responsible for specific mRNA codon recognition, and the 3' end, to which the tRNAs corresponding amino acid is attached (by aminoacyl-tRNA synthetases). tRNAs cope with the degeneracy of the genetic code in two manners: having more than one tRNA (with a specific anti-codon) for a particular amino acid; and 'wobble' base-pairing, i.e. permitting non-standard base-pairing at the 3rd anti-codon position. RNAcentral also lists the same sequence under 1 other name. The record is from RNAcentral. Lineage: Archaea; Thermoproteati; Candidatus Bathyarchaeota.